Molecule: ribosomal RNA, 818 nt
Filed under: uncultured bacterium
Lineage: Bacteria
Description: bacterial SSU rRNA
Rfam family: Bacterial small subunit ribosomal RNA
Source: RNAcentral
GAACGGGUGAGUAACACGUGGGUGAGCUGCCCUGCACUUUGGGAUAAGCCUGGGAAACUGGGUCUAAUACCGAAUAGGACCACGCGCUUCAUGGUGUGUGGUGGAAAGCUUUUGCGGUGUGGGAUGGGCCCGCGGCCUAUCAGCUUGUUGGUGGGGUAAUGGCCUACCAAGGCGACGACGGGUAGCCGGCCUGAGAGGGUGACCGGCCACACUGGGACUGAGAUACGGCCCAGACUCCUACGGGAGGCAGCAGUGGGGAAUAUUGCACAAUGGGCGCAAGCCUGAUGCAGCGACGCCGCGUGAGGGAUGACGGCCUUCGGGUUGUAAACCUCUUUCAAUAGGGACGAAGCGCAAGUGACGGUACCUAUAGAAGAAGCACCGGCCAACUACGUGCCAGCAGCCGCGGUAAUACGUAGGGUGCGAGCGUUGUCCGGAAUUACUGGGCGUAAAGAGCUCGUAGGUGGUUUGUCGCGUUGUUCGUGAAAACUCACAGCUUAACUGUGGGCGUGCGGGCGAUACGGGCAGACUAGAGUACUGCAGGGGAGACUGGAAUUCCUGGUGUAGCGGUGGAAUGCGCAGAUAUCAGGAGGAACACCGGUGGCGAAGGCGGGUCUCUGGGCAGUAACUGACGCUGAGGAGCGAAAGCGUGGGGAGCGAACAGGAUUAGAUACCCUGGUAGUCCACGCCGUANACGGUGGGUACUAGGUGUGGGUUCCUUCCUUGGGAUCCGUGCCGUAGCUAACGCAUUAAGUACCCCGCCUGGNNAGUACGGCCGCAAGGCUAAAACUCAAAGGAAUUGACGGGGGCCCGCACAAGCA